UACGAAGGGGGCUAGCGUUGUUCGGCCUUACUGGGCGUAAAGCGCACGUGGGCGGAUUGCUAAGUCAGGGGUGAAAUCCCGGGGCUCAACCUCGGAACUGCCUUUGAUACUGGCAAUCUCGAGUCCGGAAGAGGUGAGUGGAAUUCCUAGUGUAGAGGUGAAAUUCGUAGAUAUUAGGAAGAACACCAGUGGCGAAGGCGGCUCACUGGUCCGGUACUGACGCUGAGGUGCGAAAGCGUGGGGAGCAAACAGG
This 253-nucleotide ribosomal RNA is filed under the name uncultured bacterium. RNAcentral's name for it is "partial 16S ribosomal RNA". It matches the Rfam family "Bacterial small subunit ribosomal RNA", at positions 524 to 776 of the family's 1533-position model. The record is from RNAcentral.